GUGAAAGUAGUUUAAAAAAACGUUAGAUUUUUAAUCUAAAAUUGCAUUAGGCCUUUCGCA
This 60-nucleotide transfer RNA is filed under the name Pinctada maxima (silver-lipped pearl oyster). RNAcentral's name for it is "tRNA-Lys". It matches the Rfam family "tRNA". Rfam says of the family: Transfer RNA (tRNA) molecules are approximately 80 nucleotides in length. Their secondary structure includes four short double-helical elements and three loops (D, anti-codon, and T loops). Further hydrogen bonds mediate the characteristic L-shaped molecular structure. tRNAs have two regions of fundamental functional importance: the anti-codon, which is responsible for specific mRNA codon recognition, and the 3' end, to which the tRNAs corresponding amino acid is attached (by aminoacyl-tRNA synthetases). tRNAs cope with the degeneracy of the genetic code in two manners: having more than one tRNA (with a specific anti-codon) for a particular amino acid; and 'wobble' base-pairing, i.e. permitting non-standard base-pairing at the 3rd anti-codon position. Lineage: Eukaryota; Metazoa; Mollusca; Bivalvia; Pterioida; Pteriidae. The record is from RNAcentral.